This 416-nucleotide ribosomal RNA is filed under the name uncultured eukaryote. RNAcentral's name for it is "bacterial SSU rRNA". It matches the Rfam family "Eukaryotic small subunit ribosomal RNA", at positions 592 to 1013 of the family's 1831-position model. The record is from RNAcentral.
CAAUAGCGUAUAUUAAAGUUGUUGCAGUUAAAAGCUCGUAGUUGGAUCUCGGGUCCAGGCCUGCGGUCCGCCUCGCGGCGGUUACUGCUCGUCCUGGCCUACCUGCCGGUGUGUCCCUUGGUGCUCUUGAUUGAGUGUCUCGGGCGGCCGGAACGUUUACUUUGAAAAAUUAGAGUGUUCAAAGCAGGCGUGUCGCCUGAAUAAUGGUGCAUGGAAUGAUGGAAUAGGACCUCGGUUCUAUUUUGUUGGUUUUCGGAGCUCGAGGUAAUGAUUAAGAGGGACUGACGGGGCAGUUCGUACUGGGCCGCCAGAGGUGAAAUUCUUUAACUGGCUCAUGACGAACCACUGCGAAAGCAUUUGCCAAGAAUGUUUUCAUUAAUCAAGAACGAAAGUCAGAGGGUCGAAGAUGAUCAGAU